GAUAUGGACCUCACGUAACAGGCGCUUAUAAACCCCGUCAGGUCCGGAAGGAAGCAGCGGUAAGUAAGAAAGUCUGUGUCGUCGAGUGAAUCUAUAUGGUUU
Molecule: signal recognition particle RNA, 102 nt
Filed under: delta proteobacterium NaphS2
Lineage: Bacteria; Deltaproteobacteria
Description: Bacterial signal recognition particle RNA
Rfam family: Bacterial small signal recognition particle RNA
About the family: The signal recognition particle (SRP) is a universally conserved ribonucleoprotein involved in the co-translational targeting of proteins to membranes.
Source: RNAcentral